UACAGGGGGUGCAAACGUUGCUCGGAAUUAUUGGGCGUAAAGCGCGCGUAGGCGGCCACUUAAGUCGGAUGUGAAAGCCCCUGGCUCAACUGGGGAAGUGCACCCGAAACUGAAUGGCUUGAGUGCGAAAGAGGGUCGCGGAAUUCCCGGUGUAGAGGUGAAAUUCGUAGAUAUCGGGAGGAACACCGGUGGCGAAGGCGGAUCUCUGGGCCUUGCCUGACGCUGAGGCGCGAAAGCUAGGGGAGCGAACAGG
RNAcentral lists this ribosomal RNA (253 nucleotides) under uncultured bacterium. Its description in RNAcentral is "partial 16S ribosomal RNA". It matches the Rfam family "Bacterial small subunit ribosomal RNA", at positions 524 to 776 of the family's 1533-position model. The record is from RNAcentral.